AUACGGAGGGGGCUAGCGUUGUUCGGAUUUACUGGGCGUAAAGCGCGCGUAGGCGGUAUAUCAAGUUAGGCGUGAAAGCCCCGGGCUCAACCCGGGAACUGCGCUUAUUACUGAUAAACUAGAGUCCGGGAGAGGGUGGCGGAAUUCCCAGUGUAGAGGUGAAAUUCGUAGAUAUUGGGAAGAACACCAGUUGCGAAGGCGGCCACCUGGACCGGUACUGACGCUGAGGUGCGAAAGCGUGGGGAGCAAACAGGAUUAGAAACCCGAGUAGUCC
This 274-nucleotide ribosomal RNA is filed under the name uncultured bacterium. RNAcentral's name for it is "partial 16S ribosomal RNA". It matches the Rfam family "Bacterial small subunit ribosomal RNA", at positions 523 to 796 of the family's 1533-position model. The record is from RNAcentral.